GUAGCUGGUCUGAGAGGAUGACCAGCCACACUGGRACUGAGACACGGUCCAGACUCCUACGGGAGGCAGCAGUGGGGAAUAUUGGACAAUGGGGGCAACCCUGAUCCAGCAAUGCCGCGUGUGUGAAGAAGGCCUGAGGGUUGUAAAGCACUUUCAGUGGGGAGGAGGGUUGAUAGGUUAAGAGCUAAUUAACUGGACGUUACCCACAGAAGAAGCACCGGCUAACUCCGUGCCAGCAGCCGCGGUAAUACGGAGGGUGCGAGCGUUAAUCGGAAUKACUGGGCGUAAAGGGUGCGUAGGUGGUUUAUUAAGUUAUCUGUGAAAUCCCUGGGCUUAACCUGGGCUGGUCARAUAAUACUGRUWGACUCGAGUAUGG
This 376-nucleotide ribosomal RNA is filed under the name uncultured Legionella sp. RNAcentral describes it as "bacterial SSU rRNA". It matches the Rfam family "Bacterial small subunit ribosomal RNA", at positions 283 to 651 of the family's 1533-position model. The record is from RNAcentral. Lineage: Bacteria; Pseudomonadati; Pseudomonadota; Gammaproteobacteria; Legionellales; Legionellaceae.